AAUAAGAGGAGGAAAAG
RNAcentral lists this small RNA (17 nucleotides) under Arabidopsis thaliana (thale cress). Its description in RNAcentral is "ATSL254960". The record is from RNAcentral. Lineage: Eukaryota; Viridiplantae; Streptophyta; Magnoliopsida; Brassicales; Brassicaceae.